CCUACGGGGGGCUGCAGUGGGGAAUAUUGGACAAUGGGCGAAAGCCUGAUCCAGCCAUGCCGCGUGUGUGAAGAAGGCCUUCGGGUUGUAAAGCACUUUCAGUGGGGAAGAAAGCCUUGGGGCUAAUACCCUCGAGGAAGGACAUCACCCACAGAAGAAGCACCGGCUAACUCCGUGCCAGCAGCCGCGGUAAUACGGAGGGUGCGAGCGUUAAUCGGAAUUACUGGGCGUAAAGCGCGCGUAGGCGGUCUGAUAAGCCGGUUGUGAAAGCCCCGGGCUCAACCUGGGAACGGCAUCCGGAACUGUCAGGCUAGAGUGCAGGAGAGGAAGGUAGAAUUCCCGGUGUAGCGGUGAAAUGCGUAGAGAUCGGGAGGAAUACCAGUGGCGAAGGCGGCCUUCUGGACUGACACUGACGCUGAGGUGCGAAAGCGUGGGUAGCAAACAGGAUUAGAUACCCGUAGC
RNAcentral lists this ribosomal RNA (462 nucleotides) under Vreelandella stevensii. Its description in RNAcentral is "partial 16S ribosomal RNA". It matches the Rfam family "Bacterial small subunit ribosomal RNA", at positions 338 to 794 of the family's 1533-position model. Lineage: Bacteria; Pseudomonadati; Pseudomonadota; Gammaproteobacteria; Oceanospirillales; Halomonadaceae. The record is from RNAcentral.